UACGUAGGGUGCAAGCGUUAAUCGGAAUUAUUGGGCGUAAAGCGCGCGCAGGCGGUUAUGUAAGUCCGAUGUGAAAUCCCCGGGCUUAACCUGGGAACUGCAUUGGUGACUGCAUCGCUAGAGUAUGGCAGAGGGGGGUGGAAUUCCACGUGUAGCAGUGAAAUGCGUAGAGAUGUGGAGGAACACCGAUGGCGAAGGCAGCCCCCUGGGCCAAUACUGACGCUCAUGCACGAAAGCGUGGGGAGCAAACAGG
Molecule: ribosomal RNA, 253 nt
Filed under: uncultured bacterium
Lineage: Bacteria
Description: partial 16S ribosomal RNA
Rfam family: Bacterial small subunit ribosomal RNA
Source: RNAcentral